This 392-nucleotide ribosomal RNA is filed under the name uncultured Alphaproteobacteria bacterium. RNAcentral's name for it is "bacterial SSU rRNA". It matches the Rfam family "Bacterial small subunit ribosomal RNA", at positions 370 to 779 of the family's 1533-position model. Lineage: Bacteria; Pseudomonadati; Pseudomonadota; Alphaproteobacteria. The record is from RNAcentral.
AAUGGGGGCAACCCUGAUCCAGCCAUGCCGCGUGAGUGAAGAAGGCCCUAGGGUUGUAAAGCUCUUUCGCCAGGGAAGAUAGUGACGGUACCUGGUAAAGAAGUCCCGGCUAACUCCGUGCCAGCAGCCGCGGUAAUACGGAGGGGACUAGCGUUGUUCGGAAUUACUGGGCGUAAAGAGUACGUAGGCGGCUUGCCAAGUUGGGUGUGAAAGCCCGGGGCUCAACCCCGGAACCGCAUUCAAAACUGGUUGGCUAGAGAUCGGAAGAGGUAAGUGGAAUUCCCAGUGUAGAGGUGAAAUUCGUAGAUAUUGGGAAGAACACCGGUGGCGAAGGCGACUUACUGGUCCGAUACUGACGCUGAGGUACGAAAGCGUGGGGAGCAAACAGGAUU